CAUGCAAGUCGAACGAGAAUCUACUGAAGGAGGAUUCGUCCAACGGAUGUAGAGGAAAGUGGCGGACGGGUGAGUAACGCGUGAGGAACCUGCCUUGAAGAGGGGGACAACAGUUGGAAACGACUGCUAAUACCGCAUGAAGCAUAGGGGUCGCAUGAUCUUUAUGCCAAAGAUUUAUCGCUUCAAGAUGGCCUCGCGUCUGAUUAGCUAGUUGGCGGGGUAACGGCCCACCAAGGCGACGAUCAGUAGCCGGACUGAGAGGUUGAACGGCCACAUUGGGACUGAGAUACGGCCCAGACUCCUACGGGAGGCAGCAGUGGGGAAUAUUGGGCAAUGGGCGCAAGCCUGACCCAGCAACGCCGCGUGAAGGAAGAAGGCUUUCGGGUUGUAAACUUCUUUUAAGAGGGAAGAGCAGAAGACGGUACCUCUAGAAUAAGCCACGGCUAACUACGUGCCAGCAGCCGCGGUAAUACGUAGGUGGCAAGCGUUGUCCGGAUUUACUGGGUGUAAAGGGCGUGCAGCCGGGUCUGCAAGUCAGAUGUGAAAUCCAUGGGCUCAACCCAUGAACUGCAUUUGAAACUGUAGAUCUUGAGUGUCGGAGGGGCAAUCGGAAUUCCUAGUGUAGCGGUGAAAUGCGUAGAUAUUAGGAGGAACACCAGUGGCG
This 664-nucleotide ribosomal RNA is filed under the name uncultured bacterium. Its description in RNAcentral is "bacterial SSU rRNA". It matches the Rfam family "Bacterial small subunit ribosomal RNA", at positions 54 to 717 of the family's 1533-position model. The record is from RNAcentral.